GGGAACGGAACAUGUGGGACAUGUGAUAAGAAAUAAUCCAAAAGUAAAAGCUAGGACUCGGUGACAGAUGUGCCAUCGCCAAUGAAUGAACUUUCUAAAAUUCAGCCUGGAAUUGGUAUUCUUUGCCAUGCUUAACCUGACAGAGCAGCCUCUAUGGGCGAUGAGCAGGAGGCCGUUAGCCUAAGAGUCCUUCUCCCACAAUGGGACAGCUUCCAGAAAUGUGCCGCUUCCUCUCCACAUUUCAUCGAGCAGCUCUCCACUUCUGUGUAUAGCACCGGCACAGCACACAGGAAGCAAACACCACGUUCUGCAGUCCAGGGUCCGCACCUUCUGUACUCAAAGGAAGUCCAAAGGCCUCAAAUUGUGAAUCCACUGAAUGGAAGAGAGGCGAUUUCCCCACUUCAGGCAAUGCCAUGUUUGGAAAGAACCAGAACGCUGGGCGCAGAAAGGCUUUCAUGCAAACCGAGACGGUGCACAUUCUCAAGAUGGAAAAGGUAAGGUUUGAACGUGAACUUUAGCCCAAGUUAGUAAGAAGCUGGCAAGAAUUGGACAGAUAGGUGGACAGAAUUUGAGAUGGACUAUAUGAAAAAGGAGCCAGCAUCUGUGAGAGUUUUUCCAUGCAAGGUGUUUUACAGACGUAUUCCACUAAAUCCAAAGCAAGUUCAAGAGGUAGGUAUGGUCACCAUCAUGGAUAGACAAGAGAAAUUAAGACUCUAACAAAUAAAUUGCCCAAGACCUCAACCGGAAGGCCUAAGAACCACGUCUCCUCCCGCACUGUUUACCCAAGGAAAUCAGAGGUCCUGCUCCCUUCCGGGAUGUUAUUACUGACCACCACGACGAA
Molecule: long non-coding RNA, 841 nt
Filed under: Chinchilla lanigera (long-tailed chinchilla)
Lineage: Eukaryota; Metazoa; Chordata; Mammalia; Rodentia; Chinchillidae
Description: lncRNA (ENSCLAG00000023104.1)
Source: RNAcentral